RNAcentral lists this long non-coding RNA (7331 nucleotides) under Canis lupus familiaris (dog). RNAcentral's name for it is "lncRNA (ENSCAFG00000052258.1)". The record is from RNAcentral. Lineage: Eukaryota; Metazoa; Chordata; Mammalia; Carnivora; Canidae.
CUUAGUAACAUUUUUUUUCUAGUUUAGUUUAUUAUAAGAAUAUAGUAUAUAAUACAUACAUACAAAACAUAUGUUAUUCAACUGUUUAUGUUAUCAGUAAGGCUUCCAGUCAACAGUAGACUAUUAGCAGUUAAGUUUGGGGGGAUUUAAAAGUUAUAUCUGGAUUUUCAGCUGCAUGGAGUUGGGCAUCUCUAAUCCUAAUAUUGUUCAAGGGUCAACUGCAAUAUGACAUAAAUGAUACAUCUAAAAUUGGUAUCCAGGUCUUCUGACUUAUAUUUUUAUUGCUAAAGAGAUGAUGCCAACUUAGAAACACACACACACACACACACACACACACACACAAACACACAAAUGUUCCCUAUGAUUUAAACAUGAUUUUAAAGUUAGAAAUUAGCUUUUGAAAAAUCGAAAGUUAACAAUGAAAAGAACAAGGGUAUCAGUAAUAUUCUAAUAAGGACCAUGGUAAAGAAAAUAGCAAUGAUGGGAAUGUAGUAAAGGGCGUAAUAGGACAAGGUGGUAAGUUCGAAAUGAGAAGACUUCUGAUUAAACCUUGCCUCUACCUCAAACCAUGCCAUCUUACAACAUUCUCUUUACUGCUCGGAGCCUCAGGUUCCUCUUCUGUGACAUAAACUUGAUAAUACUUAGCUUUAUUUGGUGUCCUGAAGACAGCAUGUAAGUAGUGGAACAUGAUGUACACUUCAUAAAAGAUAAAUGCUCUAGCUCCAAGAAGAGUGUGGUAUAUAGUCAAGAAUCUUGGUGUUGAUGGAGUAACUACCAGUCUGUCUAUCUCUCUCUCUCUUUCUGUUCCCUCACCUAGUACGUAGCCCAUAUAUUUCUUCCAGUAUAAAACAGAAAUAAAGAAAACAGAAUACUUGUUAGAAGUAUUAUCCUAUAAUGAACUUUGAUCUGCAAGUCAGUUCUGAAGGACAGUAUUGAAAUAUUAGAGAAGACAAAGUACCUAGGGUUUGUUGCUGUUUGUUCAUUUUGUCAUGAAAUAAAAAACGGAGGCAAAAUUCAGAUUUCAAAAAAAGAAAGAAUAUCUAAGAACUGCCAAGUCAGACUGUCAACAACAAAUAUUCCUAAUGACUAUGUAUCGGCACAGAUAUUUAAAUGCUGGUUUGGAUUUGGCCACUAAAUACACAACUGUUUGCUUACUGAAAUAGUUAAAUGUUAAGUACGUAACAUGAUACUUCUCUUUCAUAAACGUUCAGUAAUCAAUAAUCAUCACUGUUAUUUAGAAAAACUUCAGGAACACAGCAAUUUAUAACUUGAGCUCCUGACAAAAGCCAAAUUCUGAUGGAAGGAUCCUGAAACUAGGAUCUCAGAGUCUUGGCUCCCUCACCAGCUUGCCUAUGUAGCAACAGUAGUGCCACUUCACUUCUAAUAACACUUCAGCAUCUCUCAAGCAGGAAAGAUCAGUUUUUGCUUUGCCUAUCUCACUGUGCAACAGAGUGACAGUUAUAAAGUACAACUCAAAUACAAAAUAGAAUAAAAAAAUAAAACAUACUAGUAUUAAAUGAUUUAAAGCUACAGGGUUAAAAAGAAUAUUUCAAAAUCAUUUCUCACAUCUUGGCUCCCUUAGCCCAGGAAGCUCAACCCUGUUGCCUUUUCAUAAUUUAAGACUCACUCAGGACAGGUCCUUGGCCACUCUUCUCCCUUGUUUGCCAAAUUCAACAUCUGCCUGGUUCUCUUAAGGGUAUCUUUUCUAUUAUUUCAUCAUAAUACUCUGUGUAAAUCAAUGUUAACAGACAUGUGACAGGCUAUAAUAAUUAAUCUGUUUGUACUUCUCUCUCCUCCAAUAGGAUGCAAGCUCUUGGAGGAUAGAAACUAUAAUAUGGAGAUAUGAUGCAUUAUAGUAUUUAACAACCUGGGUUAUGUGGCCAGAUGGUACAGAUGAUUCUUAGCUCCACCUGCUUCAAUAACAUCCUUAAAUUCUCAAUGUCUCAGUUUCCUAUCUUAAAAUCAAGGUACUAAGAAUACUGACCUAAUAGGGAUAUUGUGAAGAUUUGAUGGCCUAAUAAUGAAUAUAAAGCACUCAAAAGUAGCUGAUGUGUAGUAGACUACUCUAUGAAGGUUAAAUGUUAGUAUAGUUUGUAUACUAAAUAUCCUGUUGUCCCCAGUGCCCAUUAAAGGACCUGGCACAUCAAAAAAACAAACAACACAAAAAUAAAACAAAACAAAAAACACUUGGCAAAUGUUAACUCCUUCUCCCCUAAAAGUAAAGUCUCUUCAGCAAAAGUGCAAAAAUAAAAACAAAACAAAAUAAACAAAAAAACAGCCCCCUCCCCACAACAAAAAAACAAACAAAACAAAACAAAACAAAACAAAAAACCUACUCCAAUCUAUACAGGAGCUUAAAACAAGAUUUCAAAGAAAAUGUGAGGAGAGAAGAAGACUCUUCCCAGUGCCACCAAGAGAAAAAUAUGUUUCCCCAGGACUAAGAAAAAAACAGCUUAUUCAUAUGAAACCAUGAAGCUAGGAAAACAACAAUGCUCAUAGAGUUAGAAGACCUUAGGCAAGUACUGAGACCCUGUGAGAUUUUAAGUUUGCACUGUGAAAAAGAAGAAAAAUUCUACCUUCCAUACAGAGUAGAUUUUAGGACUUGAGUAAAUAUAAAUAAAUUGCUCUCACUUUUACCAGAAUACUGCAGACUCUUAGAAGUAGUUAUUAUCAAUAACAUUAUUGAUUAUUACGGGAACGAUUAUUGGAUACUAUGGAAGGAAUGCAGAAGACACAGGAGAUAGUCUCUCUCCCUUAGGUACUUCUUUUCCCAUGAAAUAAGGGAAACUGGAUAGGCUCUUUUGAAGGAAUUGGCAAACCCUCACUAAACAUCAAACUGAGGACUGUGAAAUAAUGGGAGCAUGCAACCUGCAUGAUUGUAGGGGAAAUAAAGGAGAGAGAUGUUGGUAACUCACUUAAAUUGGCUUGAUUCUCAGAUACAGCAUCAAAUUUUGUUUUCCCCACAGAACAAGGAUUAAGGCCUGUGGUAUUAGAUUUUGAUUAUUUCCCGAGGCUGUCAUAGAACUCAAACACUAAAAAAUAAGUCCAAUUUUCUCUUUAAAAACAUAAGCAUUAGAUAAAUUUCAAGAAGGAGGAGAACUUUUUCUUUCAGUUAAUAUCAUCAUAGGAAGACACAAGACUCCCCUAGAUUAAAAAAAGAAGAAAAACCAAAAAGGUCAAACAUAGGGUUAAGAGGACUUGACAGUGAAUUAGUGCUAAAUCAGGUAGGUAUUAUCUCACAAGGCUGAUGCAGUUAUUACAGGCAAUGUUUCAAUAACACUGAUGAACAAGAUGGACUGGAUUUAAAACAAAAUAUAGCCUUAGUCUAAGAAGAGGCAAUAGAUUAUAGGACAGAAUCAAUUACCAAUUUCUGUCAUAUUCUUCAUGGAUUUCAGUCUCCUUAUAUUUGUCAGGCUCGUUAAAUGAGCAUUACUUUACAAUGUGUCCUCAUUUAUCAAGUCUUUUGGAAGGGAAACUUUUAUUAAAUUACUCAGGCAGCAGAAUGAAAUAUAAUUCUCCAAUGCUUAAGCCUACAUAAAUAAGGCAGUUUCCGCCAACUUCAAACUCCCCCUCUUCUAAUAAAUCCUGCACACCCCUAGCAUGAAUGGCCAAGACAAAACAUGUAAAAUUGUUGGAAAUACUUCAUAAAAUUCUUAGAAGAGGUAGCAAGAAUCACCAUGGAGUCAAUUACCAUGUUCUCAGGGGUUUGCUAAGACCUAACUACAAACAAAUUAAUUGAUAAAGAAUAUUACUGGUAAAAAAUAAUUCACACAAAGGGAAUUUGGCAUUUCCUAAAUAUGCAGAGUUAAAGUUCAGACUUAACAAAUUUAAUGCAGAGUAGUACAUGGUUGAAAUAAUGUCCACAGAGAAAACUAACUAUGAUGGAUGAGAACAUCAAUAAAGUUGGACAGUUAUGAGAAAACAGAAAAAAGUAAUUGAUCCCAUUGGAAAUAACAAAAACAAUGCGGGAGUAUGUAAUAAAUUAAUUGUGAAUUACAAUGAUUUAGUUAAUUCCAUGUAAUAGAAACAUAGAUAAAUCCCCAUAUACAUGGAAAGAACCAUUCCACCCCCCCAAAAAAAAUUGAAUAAAUAUGAAUACAUGAGAAAGCCAUAAUACCUGUAAGCAGAAGUCUUAAACUGGCAUAGUUUAUGUCAAAUCUGAUCUUUCAGUGUAUCACCUGGCCAAUGGAGUGUUUAAGAUAAAAAUAAAACCCUGGGGCUUCUGGGCGGUUCAGUCAGUUAACUGACUCCUGAUUUCAACUCUAGUCACUAUCUCAGAGUCCUGAGAUCUGGCCCAGAGUCCCAGCUCCAAGGUCAGUGGGGAGUCUGUUAGAGAUUCUCCCUCUGUCUCUCUGCCCCUCCUCCCUUUCCUGCCCUAGCUCUCUCUAAAAUCAAUAAAUAAAUUUUUAAAAAUCAGGAGUUUUCAUGUAAAAGACUCGGUUUAAAACCUAGUCCUCUCUUGGAACAUCUGUUCUGAAACUUCUGAGCUUCUAUUUACACAGGUAACAACUGGCUGAUUGUCAGAGCUUUUUACAUAGAGCAUGCAUCUGACAGGCGUCACAUUAUGCGACAUACCUGGCCCCUGUAAGCAUGUGUGUUUAUGAAAUCUAAUCCAAACCCUUGGGAGGCCAGAUUACCAGGAGACAUCCUGAGCCUGUUCACAAAAUCUCUUCCCUUUUGCAGGAGAUUGGCUAUGUGAACUUGGGCAAGAAAAACAUAUUUUUAGAUAUCUAGUUCCCUGGCCUGCAACUUAGUCCAUGGUAUUUUAGGAGGAUCAAAAAGUAAUACUACAUGAAAGUAUCUAGCAUAUUGCCUAACUCGUAAUAGAUGCUUGUGAAACCAAAGCCAUGAUAACUAUAACUGAGAAACUGUAUCUACUAAUAGUUCUCUUUUAUUUAAGUGGAGAAAGAGAAACAAAUACAGAUUCCUUGUGGACAGCUGAGCAAUGCUGCUGUGCUGUGAUAAAUCUGCGAUGCUCAUGUGAGAGAUGGUCAUGAAAUAUUGCCACCUGGUCAGUUAGGGUGCUGUUAUUUUCAGGGACUGGUGAGUUGGGAGCAUUGCUCUCUAGGAGCACUUGAGCAUGGGGAAGGUGUAGGAUAAAGCUCUGUAGUCUCCAUCUGUGCCCACCAGAGAGACAUCUCCUUAGGAAAGCUGAGGUAGCUUGGCAGCUACCAAACACCAUACCACACCUUGAUUUUCCCUUGUUGGUUUGUAAAGCACAUUAAUAUGUAUUUUCACACUCACACAGUAUGUAAAAAUCUAACUUACUAAAAAGAACCUUCUGACUCUCAAUAAUUCUCUAAUAAUCCUAAAGGUGAACAUAGUCCUUGCAAUUACCAUCACUUAGAAGUUGAAAUUUCAUUCAAUUUUAUUUUGAGAAAGAAUCAAAACUAUAAUGAAUAAAUAGAAUUUUUAAUGAGGUCUGUAAGUCAAUUUUAAGGGUUAGGAUUUACAAACUUAUUAUGAUGGUGGGACUUUAAGAGUUCUGAUGUAUAACAAAUCAUUUAUAUCUCAAGUGCAAAAUAAGAUUGGCAAAAUCAAAUCCCUUUACUUCAAAUUUAUUGCAUGAUUUGUAAACCUGUCCCUCUGUUUAUAUAUAUAUUUUUUUCCUAUGCAAUGUACAUAAAUCUUAGAUGUUUCGGGAUUUUCAUGUAUGUCUUAUAAUCAAUCAUGUACUUUCCAAAAAGUGUUACUAACUCUGAUCCCUAAGGAAUACUUAUAAAUCCUAGUCUAGUUCUUCCAUUUAACAGGAAAAGAUUUAUAUGUGAUAAGUGUAUUCUCUAGUCAGGUCUGAUAAAAGUACCACUUUAUAAAUAAGAACAGCAAAAAAUUUCUUUAACCUCCUUCAGCUUAUAGGUCUGAAUGAUGCCUGAGAAUAUGACACACCCAUCCAGAAGGAGCGACCUCUUUAGAAAAUCCAACCUCUCAGCCCCCACCUCCGCCUAGCUAAUAAGACUUUGUUUCUCUAGAAAGCUUCAAGAAAAAAGAAACAAUUGUCUUAAUGUUUGCAAUUACUUUAUAGGACAGUAUAAAAAAAGGACACUAGAGAGUUAGCUGUUAUGAAAACUAGGUUCAAGUUAUAGUUGUCACAUGUUAGCUGAGUGGUUGUCCACAUGAGACUUAUUUUUUUUUUUAAUGGGCAGAAACUUUUAUUUCCAGGACAUGUGUGGAUAAGUCAAAUGUAAACAUUCUAUUCAAAAGUGAAAAAAAAUGGAAGAAAAAUGUAACAGUACACAUCAUCCGAGGAGUGGAAAUUUCUAGAAAAAGCAAAAUUUGCACAGCAGAAGUUAUGACCUUUAACAGUAUUUUGUUACACUGGAAGAUAUAUCUUGCCAUACAUCUUUCACGGAAAACUUCCAAGGAGGUCAUACCUAAUCUAUCCCAUAUAGUUAAAAGUGGCCAAAUUGGAAACUAACCAAAUCUUUUUAGAGAUGAGGAAACAGGGCUACAGGAUUUAGGUGACAUAACUCAUGGCAAUCAGGAGUCAGCAUUCUCAUUACCUAAUCCUCAGGCUCAGUACUUUCCCCUAAAUCACUCUAUCCUUUAAUAUCCUUAACUGCAAGAUUUCAUCUUCCUUACUAAAAACCCCAUGCCAUCAAAUAUUCCCUUGUUUUAACCAAAAAGUGUUCUGCAGUGUAAGCCUCUUGCUCCUUUGUUUUCUGUGUGGCUAGAUUAUAACCACCCAGAAUUUUAGUAUAAGGACCUUUCCCAGUCUUGAAGUGGUGUAUUAAGUCAACCAUAGGCCAAGUUCUUUCACAUUUUCUCUGUUGGCAUUAUUUUCCAAACCUAGUUGUUCUGUUCUGGACACAUAUGUGUUCUGCAUAUGUCUCAGGCUAUGAGGCCCUGAAUGUGGUAACUGUCUCGCCAGAGGUGGGUUUGCAGGCUGACCUGAGUGAGUGCUGGUUGUCAAGGUGACCUGAUAUUAAACAGUUCUGAAAGGCAGCACGGGAAUUUUCUGUCUCUUUCUGAUCUUCAUCUGUAAAUUGAGAGGGCUGGACUAUUGCAUUUAUGAGGUCCUUUCCAGAAUUAACUAUGCACGAGUCAAUGAUUUUACCAUCCGUGCCAGAUUCUUACAAUGAAUGAGUCUUUCUAGAGUUGCUCUGGUUUUCUGAUUCUAUUGAUGUUCCUCAAUAAUAAGACCCAUGCAUUUUACUUCCUUUGAAAUAUAUUUUGUGCAAAGCCAUAACGAGGUAAUCAACCAUUUAUUGCCGUACAUUCAGCCAGCCAGCCAGUCAGCUAGCCAGCUCUUCAUCCAUUCUCCCAUUCAUCCAUGCCCUCAUUCAUCCUCUUAGCCAGUCAUUCAUUCAACAAAGAUCAACUGAACAACCACU